CGUGGCUCAGGACGAACGCUGGCGGCGUGCUUAACACAUGCAAGUCGAACGAUGAACCUCUUCGGAGGGGAUUAGUGGCGAACGGGUGAGUAACACGUGGGCAAUUUGCCCUGCACUUUGGGACAAGCCCUGGAAACGGGGUUUAAUACCGGAUACGACCAUCUCGGGCAUCCGAUGGUGGUGGAAAGCUCCGGCGGUGCAGGAUGAGCCCGCGGCCUAUCAGCUUGUUGGUGGGGUGAUGGCCUACCAAGGCGACGACGGGUAGCCGGCCUGAGAGGGCGACCGGCCACACUGGGACUGAGACACGGCCCAGACUCCUACGGGAGGCAGCAGUGGGGAAUAUUGCACAAUGGGCGGAAGCCUGAUGCAGCGACGCCGCGUGAGGGAUGACGGCCUUCGGGUUGUAAACCUCUUUCAGCAGGGAAGAAGCGCAAGUGACGGUACCCUGCAGAA
This 453-nucleotide ribosomal RNA is filed under the name Streptomyces chungwhensis. Its description in RNAcentral is "bacterial SSU rRNA". It matches the Rfam family "Bacterial small subunit ribosomal RNA", at positions 18 to 486 of the family's 1533-position model. The record is from RNAcentral. Lineage: Bacteria; Bacillati; Actinomycetota; Actinomycetes; Kitasatosporales; Streptomycetaceae.